GGCCUCAUAGCUCAGCUGGGAGAGCAGCAGACUGAAGUAAAAUUCGGAAUCUGAAGGUCCUGCGUUCGAUCCGCAGUAAGGCCA
Molecule: non-coding RNA, 84 nt
Organism: Mycena leptocephala
Lineage: Eukaryota; Fungi; Basidiomycota; Agaricomycetes; Agaricales; Mycenaceae
Source: the annotation of a GenBank genome assembly